Molecule: unclassified non-coding RNA, 246 nt
Filed under: Hevea brasiliensis (rubber tree)
Lineage: Eukaryota; Viridiplantae; Streptophyta; Magnoliopsida; Malpighiales; Euphorbiaceae
Source: RNAcentral
GGAACGAUCUCACUAUGAUUUGCUACAGCAUCCAAUUCAGUACUCAAACCUGUAUCGAGAGAUGAGGAGAAGCCAGCGGAAGCUCGGAUUAGAGGAAACGACCGGCGAGGCUUGAAAAUCAAAUUCGGCUUCGCAAAAUUAACUGCAUUUCUCAGUUUCCUGUCCUGGAGAGCUGAGGAAGAUGAGAGAGAGGAGUAUAGCGGAGAAUGCAAAGAGGAUGACAUUUUCAACUGAGAGAGAGAGAGA